GACGAACGCUGGCGGCGUGCUUAACACAUGCAAGUCGAACGGAAAGGCCCUGCUUUUGUGGGGUGCUCGAGUGGCGAACGGGUGAGUAACACGUGAGUAAACUGCCCUUGACUUUGGGAUAACUUCAGGAAACUGGGGCUAAUACCGGAUAGGAGCUCCUGCUGCAUGGUGGGGGUUGGAAAGUUUCGGCGGUUGGGGAUGGACUCGCGGCUUAUCAGCUUGUUGGUGGGGUAGUGGCUUACCAAGGCUUUGACGGGUAGCCGGCCUGAGAGGGUGACCGGCCACAUUGGGACUGAGAUACGGCCCAGACUCCUACGGGAGGCAGCAGUGGGGAAUAUUGCACAAUGGGCGGAAGCCUGAUGCAGCAACGCCGCGUGCGGGAUGACGGCCUUCGGGUUGUAAACCGCUUUCGCAUGUGACGAAGCGUGAGUGACGGUAAUGGGUAAAGAAGCACCGGCUAACUACGUG
Molecule: ribosomal RNA, 468 nt
Filed under: uncultured bacterium
Lineage: Bacteria
Description: partial 16S ribosomal RNA
Rfam family: Bacterial small subunit ribosomal RNA
Source: RNAcentral